GAUGAACGCUGGCGGCGUGCCUAAUACAUGCAAGUCGAGCGAACAGACGAGGAGCUUGCUCCUCUGACGUUAGCGGCGGACGGGUGAGUAACACGUGGAUAACCUACCUAUAAGACUGGGAUAACUUCGGGAAACCGGAGCUAAUACCGGAUAAUAUAUUGAACCGCAUGGUUCAAUAGUGAAAGACGGUUUUGCUGUCACUUAUAGAUGGAUCCGCGCCGCAUUAGCUAGUUGGUAAGGUAACGGCUUACCAAGGCGACGAUGCGUAGCCGACCUGAGAGGGUGAUCGGCCACACUGGAACUGAGACACGGUCCAGACUCCUACGGGAGGCAGCAGUAGGGAAUCUUCCGCAAUGGGCGAAAGCCUGACGGAGCAACGCCGCGUGAGUGAUGAAGGGCUUCGGAUCGUAAAACGCUGUUAUUAGGGAAGAACAAAUGUGUAAGUAACGAUGCACGUCUUGACGGUACCUAAUCAGAAAGCCACGGCUAACUACGU
RNAcentral lists this ribosomal RNA (496 nucleotides) under uncultured bacterium. RNAcentral describes it as "partial 16S ribosomal RNA". It matches the Rfam family "Bacterial small subunit ribosomal RNA", at positions 28 to 506 of the family's 1533-position model. The record is from RNAcentral.